CGGGCGAGGCGCCGGUCUAAGUCCCUUGGAACGGGGCGUCAUAGAGGGUGAGAAUCCCGUACGUGACCGGUGACCGAGUCCAUGUGAAGCUCCUUCGACGAGUCGAGUUGUUUGGGAAUGCAGCUCAAAAUGGGUGGUAAAUUUCAUCUAAAGCUAAAUACCGGCCAGAGACCGAUAGCGCACAAGUAGAGUGAUCGAAAGAUGAAAAGCACUUUGGAAAGAGAGUCAAAAAGUACGUGAAAUUGUUGAAAGGGAAGCGCUUGCAACCAGACCUGCCCGCGGGUGAUCAACCGUCCUUCUGGGCGGUGCACUUGCCCGUGAUCAGGCCAGCAUCGGUUCGGGCGGCCGGAUAAAGGCCUUGGGAACGUAGCUCCUCUUGGGGAGUGUUAUAGCCCUCGGUGUAAUGCGGCCAGCCUGGACCGAGGACCGCGCUUCGGCUAGGAUGCUGGCGUAAUGGUUGUAAGCGGCCCGUCUUGAAACACGGACCAAGGAGUCUAACAUUUAUGCGAGUGUUUGGGUGUCAAACCCAUACGCGUAAUGAAAGUGAACGGAGGUGGGAACCCUUUACGGGGCGCACCAUCGACCGAUCCAGAUGUCUUCGGAUGGAUUUGAGUACGAGCAUAACUGUUGGGACCCGAAAGAUGGUGAACUAUGCCUGAAUAGGGUGAAGCCAGAGGAAACUCUGGUGGAGGCUCGCAGCGGUUCUGACGUGCAAAUCGAUCGUCAAAUUUGGGCAUAGGGGCGAAAGACUAAUCGAACCAUC
Molecule: ribosomal RNA, 763 nt
Filed under: Austroplaca ambitiosa
Lineage: Eukaryota; Fungi; Ascomycota; Lecanoromycetes; Teloschistales; Teloschistaceae
Description: LSU rRNA
Rfam family: Eukaryotic large subunit ribosomal RNA
Source: RNAcentral